This 69-nucleotide transfer RNA is filed under the name Marmota monax (woodchuck). Its description in RNAcentral is "tRNA.Asp". The record is from RNAcentral. Lineage: Eukaryota; Metazoa; Chordata; Mammalia; Rodentia; Sciuridae.
GAGGGUGACUCAGUGGUAGCACACUUGCCUGUCAUGCAUGAGGUCCUGGGUUGGAUCCCCAGCACCACA